GAUUGAACGCUGGCGGCAUGCUUCACACAUGCAAGUCGAACGGGCUGGGGGCAACUCCAGUCAGUGGCGAACGGGUGAGUAAUACAUCGGAACGUACCUCGUAGUGGGGGAUAACUCGGCGAAAGCCGUGCUAAUACCGCAUAUGCUCUACGGAGGAAAGCAGGGGACCGUAACAGGCCUUGUGCUAUGGGAGCGGCCGAUGUCCGAUUAGCUAGUUGGUGGGGAAUGGCCCACCAAGGCGACGAUCGGUAGCUGGUCUGAGAGGAUGAUCAGCCACACUGGGACUGAGACACGGCCCA
This 299-nucleotide ribosomal RNA is filed under the name uncultured bacterium. RNAcentral describes it as "partial 16S ribosomal RNA". It matches the Rfam family "Bacterial small subunit ribosomal RNA", at positions 27 to 333 of the family's 1533-position model. The record is from RNAcentral.